Molecule: ribosomal RNA, 401 nt
Filed under: uncultured bacterium
Lineage: Bacteria
Description: bacterial SSU rRNA
Rfam family: Bacterial small subunit ribosomal RNA
Source: RNAcentral
AGGGAAUUUUCCACAAUGGACGAAAGUCUGAUGGAGCAACGCCGUGUGCAGGAUGAAGGCCCUUGGGUUGUAAACUGCUUUUAUGUGCGAAGAUUAUGACAGUAAUACAUGAAUAAGGGUCGGUUAACUACGUGCCAGCAGCCGCGGUCAUACGUAGGACUCAAGCGUUAUCCGGAAUUACUGGGCGUAAAGAGUUGCGUAGGUGGCAUAGUAAGUAAGAAGUGAAAGCGUUCGGCUUAACCGAAUAUACAUUUCUUAAACUGCUAAGCUAGAGAACGAGAGAGGUAGAUGGAAUUCCCAGUGUAGGAGUGAAAUCCGUAGAUAUUGGGAGGAACACCGAUGGCGUAGGCAGUCCACUGGCUCGAUUCUGACACUAAGGCACGAAAGCGUGGGGAGCAAAC